UGGUCUAUUGGACCUAGAAAACGCUUAAAACGAUGUUUCAGGAGCAGUCAAAUCACGUGAUCACAGCCAGACCGCAAGAGAAACCCCGAAGAACAAAGAGAGGAGGUGAUGAAGAUGUUUCUUCUGUGGAUAUAGCUAUGCAUUAUGAAAUGAAGAUGAAGAAAAGACCUUCAACUGCAAACCAAUGACACAAAAAAGGAUGGACUCUGGAGUGCAGCAUUACUUCAAUAAGAUGAAAAUAACUCACUCCUCUAUGAUUCACGAUGUCAAGCCCCCUGGACGCAAAGAGAGUCUGCAUCAAAAUGGACGUGAACCUGAUUGAAAACACAGGAUGUCAAAAGUAUCUGUUGGCUGUCUACUUUUUGUUCAAUAUGGAGCAUCCAAAAGCCAGUUUCUUUCAUUCAGCACUAUUUAGCCCUUCUCAGUACUGAAUUUACUAUGGGUCAUUUGUUUUUAUUGUUUAAAUGCUUAUCUGAAUGUUAAAUUAUCAUUUAACGCUUAUGAAUUUAAAAACAAUUCUACUAGCUAGUCUU
Long non-coding RNA from Megalobrama amblycephala (Wuchang bream), 533 nucleotides. RefSeq lists it as uncharacterized. The transcript is spliced from 4 exons. Lineage: Eukaryota; Metazoa; Chordata; Actinopteri; Cypriniformes; Xenocyprididae. The record is from RefSeq and is a predicted model, not a curated record.